CCUACGGGUGGCAGCAGUAGGGAAUCUUCCACAAUGGACGCAAGCCUGAUGCAGCAACGCCGCGUGAGGGAAGAAGGCUUUCGGGUUGUAAACUUCUUUUGACAGGGAAGAGCAGUAGACGGUACCUGUCGACUAAGCCACGGCUAACUACGUUCCAGCAGCCGCGGUAAUACGUAGGUGGCAAGCGUUGUCCGGAUUUAGUGGGUGUAAAGGGCGUGUAGCCGGGCUUACAAGUCAGAUGUGAACUCCGGGGGCUCAACCCCCGAACUGCAUUUGAAACUGUUGGUCUUGAGUAUCGGAGAGGCAGGCGGAAUUCCUAGUGUAGCGGUGAAAUGCGUAGAUAUAAGGAGGAACACCAGUGGCGAAGGCGGCCUGCUGGACGGCAACUGACGGUGAGGCGCGAAAGCGUGGGUAGCAAACAGGAUUAGAUACCCCUGUAGUC
This 442-nucleotide ribosomal RNA is filed under the name uncultured bacterium. RNAcentral describes it as "partial 16S ribosomal RNA". It matches the Rfam family "Bacterial small subunit ribosomal RNA", at positions 338 to 795 of the family's 1533-position model. The record is from RNAcentral.